GAAUUAUGCUGAUGGCAUAUAACAACAGUGAAGGACAGUGACAAAGGAAGAAAAGGGGGAAAAAAAACGCCAGCUCGGAUAUGUGGGAGUCUUAACGGCAGCAGUAAAUUCAUCACCUCUUCUGGAUUAUCAGGACACUUGUCACUGCGAGUGCCAAGCUAAACUGGAUUUUGUUGGCAUGAGAUCUUUCCGAUGUUCAUCAUCAACACCCAGACAGGACCCGGGGGAUGCCAGAGCCUGACCUGCGCCCUCAGAACCUGCACUUGUGAACUGUCAAAAGAGCUAUAAUUGGCCACAAGCAAACGAUGCCUUGAGGUCCCUGCACAGGAAUUUUGAUUAGGUGAGUAUGACAGAAAUUAAGGUGAGCUGCUGUACAACUAUGCACGAUCAACGAUAUUCUGCAUUUCUGAGCGAGAGGCCGAGCUCUCGACUUAUACCUGUGUUACUUAACUCUUAGAUCCUUAUCCUUCUUUUAAAUGUUUAUUUAUUUUGAGAGUGAGAGUGAGAGCAUGAACAGGAAAGGGGCAGAGAGAGAGAGAAUCUCAAGCAGGCCCUGCACUGUAAGUGCAGAGCCCGGCGUGAGUCUUGAACUCAAAUGUGAGAUCAUGACCUGAGCUGAAAUCAAGAGUCAGACACUUAACUGACUGAGCCACCCAGAUGCCCUUACUUGUCAGCAAGUUUAAAUCCUUGAGGGGUAUAGCAUCACACAGGUUCUGUGGCCAGUGGCUUUAGCAGGAAGGUUGCUUUGGAAUUUGGCAUAAGCCAUGCCACUGUUUCCAGGAUGCCUCUGGUUUUAUUGGGUUUGCCACCAGGAGUCACUGUGCUUUGCUUUGUGCACAUAAGCACGUCUCUUGCCCUGAUAGCAUUCAGUCGCGUCUCCAGCAUAAACACCUUCAAUUUUAAGAACCGUGUGCUCCCUCUGGUUCCAGAGACCCUGCUUACAGCCAGCAAAAAUGGCCUUGGACCACAGCCUUCCAGACCUAUUUGUCAUUUUCGGAGUCCUGUUACCAGCAGGCCCCACUUAUUUGCCCUUUAAGUUCAGCAGCAGGACCUUCCUUCACCUCCACUAGACUAAUUGGAGAGGGCCUUCUUCAGGAUACACAUGAAUUGUUCAGCCAUGUGGUAUUCAAGAAUGGUAUAGUUUAAAGAUGACUUUUCGUAGGGGCGCCUGGGUGGCUCAGUCAGGUAGGCUUCUGACUUUGGCUCAGGUCAUCAUCUCAUGGUUCGGGAGUUUGAGCCCCGCGUCGGGCUCUGUGCUGACAGCUCGGAGCCUGGAGCCUGCUUCGGAUUCUGUGUCUCCCUCUCUCUCUGCCCCUCCCCUGCUCACACACAUACUCUCUCUCUCAAAAAUAAAUAAACAUUAAAAAAAUUAAAAAAAAGAAAGAUGGCUUUCCUAGAUAAAGAUACUAAGUUGCUCUUCUAUUCAUAUCAAGAUAGUAUUUUUUCUAACUAUGUACUUAUAUGCUACUUCUCUAGAUACUAUUAAAUAGUACUCCUAUAAAUAAUUAAAAACAGUAUUGGCCUUUCCAAAAAUAGAAUUAGUGCUUUAUGAGGUCUGUUUGUCCUCAGACUAAAAAUUUGGUGGACAUUUGCCCAGUUGAGAGAUAGGAAGGAUGGUGUAUUCCAAUAAUUCUUGGUUUUUCAUCUUCUUCCAAAUGAACGUUUUGUCCCUGGCUUUUAAUGCAAACGACAAAACUGAAAGACGUGGAUGACUCUUACAGUCACAUAUUUAAAGGCGACUUCUCUGGAUAUUGAAACAGUCAGUGAAGAGAAGGGAAUAGAAGAAGCCAGCCGUUCGUUUACCUUGCUCUCCUUUACAGCCUUUGUUGCCUUUUUCUCCAACUGGCCCAGGAGUUCCCGGCCUUCCAUCCUUGCCUGGUUUACCUCUUGGCCCACAGGGUCCUAGGCAAAAAACCAACACUGUGUUGAAUGGUUCAUACAGGAGAAAACAGGGGUGGCCAGUCAUCCCAGAUAUGUGGGACUUCUCCAGUUUCGGCAACGAAAGUCUUACAAACUGAGCCACGGACAAACUCGGACAGUGGGUCAUCCAACUUGUUACAUCCUACUUCUCCAGGGGAAAAAGAACCCUCAAGAAUGGACUAGAAACAUAUGAGACAACAAUGGUUUAAAAUUGUGCUGCCAUUUUGCUUCACCCUCUUCCAGAAUUUGCUAUGCCCUUGUAUUGAACAACAUAAUAAGUCAUGGCUCUUUUAUAUCACAGAAGCAAUUCAGGCAAACUUAGAACACAACAAUUCCAUUCAGAAGUCUAUUACAGUAUGCUUACCCUAUACAGAGGGGUUAGUUCAAUUUCCAUACACCAGUACUUUGAUAAGAUUUCAUAAGAUUAAGCAUAUAUUUGCAUUUACUACUCUUCCAAGUGCUCUCCAAAGUGUGAGAAAACUACACACACAUAGAACUCAGGUUUAUUCAGGUAAUUGUUUUCAAAUAAGAGCUCUAAAACCAAUGGUUGUCACAGAAGAUAGAAUUAAUACUUGAUCUUAAUGAAAAAAAAAAAAAAAAAACAACCGUAAGUGCCUAAAGUGUAUUUGCUCAAGCUUAUACACUGCACAACAGGUUUCAAUAGAGUCAAUAUUUUCAAUAGACUCUAUAGUGGUUGCUUCCAAAGCACUUUGUAGGUAUUUUGGUUCAACCACUUGCUUGUAAUCCACGUCAAUACAGUCAGUUCCACACCUAGGAUUCCUGGUGGCCCCGGUGGCCCAGGCUCUCCUUGCAUCCCUGGUUCUCCAACAGGUCCAGGUGGCCCUGGGCUUCCUGGGAGGGAGAUGAUCUUAACUGUGCCAGGGUCUCCACGUAUACCUAUUGACAUGAGCAGAGGAAAACGAUGGGUUCACUGAUGGGCUACCCUUUCUUCAUGAAGAGCAAUACUAAGGAGAAUAAUAUUUACCGGGUGGUCCUUUUGGCCCAAUUUGCCCUGGAGGUCCGACUGGUCCCAGAAAUCCUGGAUUACCCUUCUCCCCUUAUAAAAAAAAAAAAAAAGCAAUGUGAUUCCAUGUAGAACAGUGGGUUUCCCAGCUCUUGAGGUUUAUGAUCAACUGUAAGGACAGACACUGGGAGUUAGGACUGGAGGUGAUGGGGCUCUGUGACAAUGGCUACAACUUCUGGCAUUUCAUUUGGACCCAAUCAAUCAUGCUUAAUGUUUAUCUAAAAAUAUAUUCUAGAAGUAGGCAUUAAGAUUUUGUAUUUUAGUAUUGAAGAGGAAGAGUUCAUAAAGUUCACUGUUUCCAUUCAGAAACGAAUUUAAUAUUUAAGGUAAAGUAUGAAGUGACAUUAAACCUAUUUUAGUGCUUACAUCAGUUGUCAUAGUUACCUACUUUCUUAGCUUAUUUCUCUAGCUUUAUUAAGAGCCCAUUAGUUAUAUUAGGGAUUCUCAUGAACACAUACGGAAUAUUUGCUUUCAUGUAAACCAUCAAAAUGGUAUGAUUUCUCUCCCAGUCUUUGACAUGAAUAAAAGUUUACCAAGAAUCAC
Molecule: long non-coding RNA, 3487 nt
Organism: Felis catus (domestic cat)
Lineage: Eukaryota; Metazoa; Chordata; Mammalia; Carnivora; Felidae
Exons: 4
Source: RefSeq, a predicted model, not a curated record